ACACGACUACAUUAGAUACCCCGGUAGUCCCAGCCGUAAACUAUGCGCGUUAGGUGUAUCGGUGACCACGAGUUACCGAGGUGCCGAAGGGAAACCGUGAAACGUGCCGCCUGGGAAGUACGGUCGCAAGGCUGAAACUUAAAGGAAUUGGCGGGGAGCACCACAACAGGUGGAGCCUGCGGUUUAAUUGGACUCAACGCCGGGAAGCUCACCGGAUAGGACAGCAGAAUGAUUGCCGGGCUGAAGACCCUGCAUGACUAGCUG
Molecule: ribosomal RNA, 264 nt
Filed under: uncultured archaeon
Lineage: Archaea
Description: partial 16S ribosomal RNA
Rfam family: Archaeal small subunit ribosomal RNA
Source: RNAcentral